AAGUCGUAACAAGGUUUCCGUAGGUGAACCUGCGGAAGGAUCAUUAGUGAAACUUCAAAGUCGGCUUGUCAUACUGUGCUGGUGGAGACACAUGUGCACGUUACAAGUCGCAAAUCCACACACCUGUGCAUCUUAUGACUCUGAGUGCCGCUUUGCGUGGCCUUGACCGGCCUGGCGCUCGAGUACCUUUCACACACUCUUGAAUGUAACGGAAUGUCUAUUGUGCGUAAUGUACAAAUGAAACAACUUUCAACAACGGAUCUCUUGGCUCUCGCAUCGAUGAAGAACGCAGCGAAAUGCGAUAAGUAAUGUGAAUUGCAGAAUUCAGUGAAUCAUCGAAUCUUUGAACGCACCUUGCACCCUUUGGUAUUCCGAAGGGUACACCCGUUUGAGUGUCAUUGUAAUCUCACUACGAUCGACUUUUACGGUCUUUUCGUAUGUGGACUUGGAUGCUGCCGUGGAUAUCCUACGGCUCGUCUGAAAUGCCUGAGUGUACCCCGCUUUGCGGCGUAUUCGGUGUGAUACAUCUUCACCGGAGUUGAUCCGAAAGGAUCGCGUCUGUAANGGUGUGGCUCUAUGCUUUCCAACCGUCUUGACAGGACAAUCUCUGACAUUUGACCUCAAAUCGGGUGGGACUACCCGCUGAACUUAAGCAUAUCAUAAGCGGAGGAAAGAAACUACNAGGAUUCCCCUAGUAACGGCGAGUGAAGAGGGAAAGCUCAAAUUUUGAAUCUGGUGUCUUUGACUCCCGAGUUGUAAUCUAGAGAAGUGUUUUCCGUGUCGGACCGUGCACAAGUUCCCUGGAACGGGGCGUCAUAGAGGGUGAGAAUCCCGUAUAUGGCACGGACUGCCGAUGCUUUGUGAUACACUCUCAACGAGUCGAGUUGUUUGGGAAUGCAGCUCUAAAUGGGUGGUAAAUUCCAUCUAAAGCUAAAUAUUGGCGAGAGACCGAUAGCGAACAAGUACCGUGAGGGAAAGAUGAAAAGCACUUUGGAAAGAGAGUGAAACAGUACGUGAAAUUGUUGAAAGGGAAGCGUUUGAAGUCAGUCAUGUCUGUCGGGAUUCAGCCUGGCUUUUGCCUGGUGUACUUUCCGUCCGACGGGUCAGCAUCAAUUUCGACCGAGGGAAAAAGACGUGAGGAAUGUGGCUGUCUUCGGGCAGUGUUAUAGACUCGCGUUGUAUGCCUCGGUUGGGAUUGAGGAACGCAGCGCGCCUAUAGGCCAGGGGCUACACGCCUCUUGACACGCGCUUAGGAUGCUGGCAUAAUGGCUUUAAGCGACCCGUCUUGAAACACGGACC
This 1299-nucleotide ribosomal RNA is filed under the name uncultured fungus. RNAcentral describes it as "eukaryotic LSU rRNA". The stretch from base 616 to 1299 matches the Rfam family "Eukaryotic large subunit ribosomal RNA", at positions 1 to 667 of the family's 3401-position model. The record is from RNAcentral. Lineage: Eukaryota; Fungi.